UAUGUGAUCGUCUCUCGCAUAUCAAUAAGCGGAGGAAAAGAAACUAACAAGGAUUCCCCUAGUAACGGCGAGUGAAGCGGGAAGAGCUCAAAUUUGAAAUCUUAAAGGGUUUCCCUUUACGAAUUGUAGUUUAAAGAAGUGUUUUCUGUUGAGGUUUUGGUAAAAGUUCUUUGGAAUAGGACAUCAUAGAGGGUGAGAAUCCCGUAUUUGACCUUUACUUUCAACUUUGUGAUACACUUUCAAAGAGUCGGAUUGUUUGGGAAUGCAGUCCAAAAUGGGUGGUAAAUUUCAUCUAAAGCUAAAUAUUGGCGAGAGACCGAUAGCGAACAAGUACCGUGAGGGAAAGAUGAAAAGAACUUUGAAAAGAGAGUUAAACAGUACGUGAAAUUGUCAAAAGGGAAGCGUUUGACACCAGUGUUGUUUUUCUGAAAAUCAAUUAAAGAACUGUUUAUGCUAAGUUGUUUAGACUUUAUCAGCUAUCUGUUUAGUUUUGAGCUUUUCUUUAAUGCACUUUUCAGUUAACAAGUCAACAUCAAUUUCUUUUGCUGUAAAAAAGCUUGAGGAAGGUGGCUUGAGAUUCGUCUUAAGUGUUUAUAGCCUCUUGCCUAUGCAGUCGGAGAGAUUGAGGUCUGCAGCGUAGAUCCUUCGGGGCUAAAUGCAUUUGUGCUAAGUUAUAGCAUUUUAUAGACAACUUGUUGACUAUGAUUUGUCUUGUAGCUUACUCGCUUAUGUUAUUUUACCUACGCUUAGGAUGUUGAGUAGCGACAUACGCAC
This 774-nucleotide ribosomal RNA is filed under the name uncultured Neocallimastigales. RNAcentral's name for it is "partial large subunit ribosomal RNA". It matches the Rfam family "Eukaryotic large subunit ribosomal RNA", at positions 24 to 649 of the family's 3401-position model. Lineage: Eukaryota; Fungi; Neocallimastigomycota; Neocallimastigomycetes; Neocallimastigales. The record is from RNAcentral.